RNAcentral lists this ribosomal RNA (484 nucleotides) under uncultured bacterium. RNAcentral's name for it is "partial 16S ribosomal RNA". It matches the Rfam family "Bacterial small subunit ribosomal RNA", at positions 30 to 507 of the family's 1533-position model. The record is from RNAcentral.
AUUGAACGCUGGCGGCAGGCCUAACACAUGCAAGUCGAGCGGACGAAGGGGGAUUUCUCUUGGCUUAAGCUGGGGACGGGCGAGUAAUGCCUAGGAGGAUGACUUGUCGUUGGGGCUAACAUAAGUUAAGGGGCCCUAAUAUAGCAUCCGACCAGAGGUAGAACCUCGGGGAUCAUCGGAGCACAAGCUAUCUGAUGUCCCUAGGUCGGAUUAGCUAGUUGGUAGGGUAAAGGCCUACCAAGGCGACGAUCCGUAACUGAUCUGAGAGGAUGAUCAGCCACACUGGAACUGAGACACGGUCCAGACUCCUACGGGAGGCAGCAGUAGGGAAUAUUCCGCAAUGGGCGAAAGCCUGACGCAGCCACGCCGCGUGAGUGAAGAAGGUCUUCGGAUCGUAAAACUCUGUUAGUUGGGAAGAACGAAAGUGUAAGUAUACCUUGCUGUCUUGACGUUACCUACACAGUAAGCCCCGGCUAACUUCGUG